RNAcentral lists this ribosomal RNA (467 nucleotides) under uncultured bacterium. RNAcentral describes it as "partial 16S ribosomal RNA". It matches the Rfam family "Bacterial small subunit ribosomal RNA", at positions 28 to 506 of the family's 1533-position model. The record is from RNAcentral.
GACGAACGCUGGCGGCGUGCUUAACACAUGCAAGUCGAACGGAAAGGCCCUGCUUUUGUGGGGUGCUCGAGUGGCGAACGGGUGAGUAACACGUGAGUAACCUGCCCUUGACUUUGGGAUAACCUCAGGAAACUGGGGCUAAUACCGGAUAGGAGCUCCUGCUGCAUGGUGGGGGUCGGAAAGUUUCGGCGGUUGGGGAUGGACUCGCGGCUUAUCAGCUUGUUGGUGGGGUAGUGGCUUACCAAGGCUUUGACGGGUAGCCGGCCUGAGAGGGUGACCGGCCACAUUGGAACUGGGAUACGGCCCAGACUCCUACGGGGGGCAGCAGUGGGGAAUAUUGCACAAGGGGCGGAAGCCUGAUGCAGCAACGCCGCGUGCGGAAGGACGGCCUUCGGGUUGUAAACCGCUUUCGCCUGUAACGAGGCGUGAGUGACGGUAAUGGGUAAGGAAGCACCGGCUAACUACGU